RNAcentral lists this unclassified non-coding RNA (321 nucleotides) under Hevea brasiliensis (rubber tree). The record is from RNAcentral. Lineage: Eukaryota; Viridiplantae; Streptophyta; Magnoliopsida; Malpighiales; Euphorbiaceae.
AGAACAAAAGAUCGUGAAGAAGGUUUUGAAGAUCCAGAAAGCCAAGGAAAAGCUAGCAUCCAAGAGCUAAGCCUUGAAUCCUCGAUGAUGUCGUGAGAGGAGUUUCUGAUACUGCAGGUUUCUAGGAAAUCAUGACUGUAUUUUGAUUUUUGGUCUUGAGAUUUGUAUGUUGCUGGUUUUUCGUUAAAAUACGAUAUUGGAGGUCUUUCUUCAGUUUGUCGAAAUAUCCGUUCUCCUAGGUAUCUCUAUUUUCUUGUUCUGAAUAUUUAAACUUGUUAUGGAUAUUUGCAACUUCUAUUCAAUUAGGCUAUUCGUUCCAAA